This 780-nucleotide long non-coding RNA is filed under the name Marmota monax (woodchuck). Lineage: Eukaryota; Metazoa; Chordata; Mammalia; Rodentia; Sciuridae. The record is from RNAcentral.
CAGCCUUUUUACUUUCAGGACCUACUUUCAUUUAUAGGUAGCACAUCAUGGCUGUUGCAAAGUGCUACCCUGGAGUGGUUACCCCGAGCAAGAUCUCCAGUGUGUGUGGCUGGUUGCUGCCCUUGAACCCUCAUGGAGGAUGUAGGGGGUCUCAAUUCCCUUGGGCUACUUGGAGUGAAGAAGUGAGGUACUGGCAGAGGAGUCCAUAGUAUGUCUCCAGAAAGCCCUAAAUCAUCUUCAGAAAAUAUGGGAAUAGAUUGGGAUUCCAGAGGACCAGAAAUGUUGUUAUGAAAAACUGAGGUUGUAAAGAAGCAUAUCAAGGGUGUCCUGGAUAUGAUGGUUGCUGAAUAAGAGAGCCUGAGGAGAGGCUUAUCAAAAACAUAUCCAUCUGUCCAAAAGAUCUGAACACCUGUGCGGUGAGUUACAUUGAUUUCAGGAGGAGGGAGAAUCAACUAGAAAAAGAUUUGCAUGCUCAGGUAGAAUUGAAAUGAAAAAAAAAAAAAGGAAAAAGGAGAGAAAACAGGAACUGAAGUCACUUCAAGAACAAGAUCAAGAAUUGUGUGGGGCUGGAGCAGUAGCUCAGUGGCAGAGUGCUCACCUAGCAUGCAUAGGGCACUGGGUUUGAUCCUCAGCACCACAUAAAACAUAACAUAAAGGUAUUGUGUCCAUCUACAACUAAAAAAAAAAAUUGUGUGAAAUUCUUUGCAUGCCCCACUAUGACAUUGACAGCAUUUCUGUUCCCAGCUCAGAAGAGCUGAACCAGGUCAGACAAUAUGUGAC